This 1121-nucleotide long non-coding RNA is filed under the name Macaca fascicularis (crab-eating macaque). RNAcentral describes it as "lncRNA (ENSMFAG00000058297.1)". The record is from RNAcentral. Lineage: Eukaryota; Metazoa; Chordata; Mammalia; Primates; Cercopithecidae.
UAUGCAUACAGAAUAUCACCCUAAAAAAGGCAUUAGAGAAAAAUAUCUCCAAAUAUGUUGAGUUUAUCUGGAAAUGAGAAAAGAGGAUUAUAAUCUGGAUGCACGAAACGGCAAGCCACAAAUGCAGCUGGCUGGGGAAGGGCAAAGGGAAGUUCUAUUGGCUGAAAGGGAGAAGUUGACAUAAGCUACUUAGAAACUGAGCUAAUUGGUCCCAGAGGCUCCAAGCGAGUUGUCGUCACUUCAUUGGUGAAGAUGGUGUUAUUGAACAAGUGUUUUUUGAGAGCAUUUUAUCUCAAUUACUGCAGUCCUAAAGAAUGUCUAGUGAUAAACUUUGUCAUAAAAAUACAUGUUGAGGCUGGGCGUGGUGGUUCAUGGCUGUAAUCUCAGCACCUUGGGAGGCUGAGACAGGAGGAUCGCUUGAGGCCCUGAGUUUCAGAUCAGGCUGGGCAGCACAGCCAGACCCCGUCUCUACAAACAUUUUUUAAAAUUGGCAGGGUGUGGUGGUGCACGCCUGUAGUCCCAGCUACUCAAGGAAGCUGAGGUGGGAGGAUCCCUUGAGCCCAGGAAUUUGAGGCUGCAGUGAGCUGUCAUUGUGCCACUGCAUUCCAGCCUGGGUGACACAGCGAGACCCUAUUUCAAAAAAAAAAAAAGAGAGAGAAAUACAUAUAUAUUUGCCAAAUGUGCAAGCCAUGCAAAGGAGGAGAUGCAUGUAGGAUGCGGAGGGAUUUCUUGUGGAUUUUUAGAAAGUCCUUGGAAACAUUUCUUAUUUGAGAUGCAAGCCUGAGCCUCCCUCCCCUUUGUCUUCUCAGCCCUAUUUCGUCUGAGUCUUACUAAAGCAAUUUCAUCUUGGCAUCUGCAACUUUUAUAAGAAAAAAAAAUCCCCAAAUCAUAUGAUACAGAACGAAAAAUUAUCACAGAGGUUCACACAUAGACAACCAUCACUCAGGUUAAGAACUGGAACUUUCCUGUCUGGGCAUGGUGACUCACUUCUGUCAACCAGCAAUUUGGGAGGUUGAGGCGAGUGGAUUACUGAGGUGAGGAGUUGGAGACCAGCCUGGAAAAUACGACCAACCCCUAUCUCUAUGAAAAAUACAAAAAUUAGCCAGGUGUGGUGGCACAUG